This 467-nucleotide ribosomal RNA is filed under the name uncultured bacterium. RNAcentral's name for it is "partial 16S ribosomal RNA". It matches the Rfam family "Bacterial small subunit ribosomal RNA", at positions 28 to 507 of the family's 1533-position model. The record is from RNAcentral.
GAUGAACGCUGGCGGCGUGCUUAACACAUGCAAGUCGAACGGAAAGGCCGAAGCUUGCUUCGGUACUCGAGUGGCGAACGGGUGAGUAACACGUGGGUGAUCUGCCCUGUACUUCGGGAUAAGCUUGGGAAACUGGGUCUAAUACCGGAUAUGACAAUCUCUUGGAUGGGGUUGUGGAAAGCUUUUGCGGUAUGGGAUGGGCUCGCGGCCUAUCAGCUUGUUGGUGGGGUAAUGGCCUACCAAGGCGUCGACGGGUAGCCGGCCUGAGAGGGUGUACGGCCACAUUGGGACUGAGAUACGGCCCAGACUCCUACGGGAGGCAGCAGUGGGGAAUAUUGCACAAUGGGCGCAAGCCUGAUGCAGCGACGCCGCGUGGGGGAUGACGGCCUUCGGGUUGUAAACUCCUUUCGCAACCGACGAAGCUUUUUGUGACGGUAGGUUGAGAAGAAGCACCGGCUAACUACGUG